RNAcentral lists this ribosomal RNA (378 nucleotides) under uncultured bacterium. Its description in RNAcentral is "bacterial SSU rRNA". It matches the Rfam family "Bacterial small subunit ribosomal RNA", at positions 527 to 907 of the family's 1533-position model. The record is from RNAcentral.
GUAGGUCACAAGCGUUGUCCGGAAUUACUGGGUGUAAAGGGAGCGCAGGCGGGAAGACAAGUUGGAAGUGAAAUCUAUGGGCUCAACCCAUAAACUGCUUUCAAAACUGUUUUUCUUGAGUACAGUAGAGGUGGGCGGAAUUCGUGGUGUAGCGGUGAAAUGCUUAGAUAUCACGAAGAACUCCGAUUGCGAAGGCAGCUCACUGGACUGCAACUGACACUGAUGCUCGAAAGUGUGGGUAUCAAACAGGAUUAGAUACCCUGGUAGUCCACACAGUAAACGAUGAAUACUCGCUGUUUGCGAUAUACAGUAAGCGGCCAAGCGAAAGCAUUAAGUAUUCCACCUGGGGAGUACGCCGGCAACGGUGAAACUCAAAGG